This is a long non-coding RNA of Mus musculus (house mouse), 2397 nucleotides long. RefSeq annotates it as predicted gene, 42327. NCBI's taxonomy places the organism in Eukaryota, Metazoa, Chordata, Mammalia, Rodentia, Muridae. The transcript is spliced from 3 exons. The record is from RefSeq and is a predicted model, not a curated record.
CCAGCGGCUUCACAGAUACCAGCUUGGAUGGCCAGCAGCUGAGGUGGCCGAUGUCUGGGGUCCUAGAGGGCUCUUGCCAGCCUCUGGAUCUCAAUGCCCUGUGAAGCACACUGGAGCUACCAAGCCUAGGGAGGCUCAGGGAUGAGAGCCCAGUACCCUGAGGGCAUAAAACCAACAAGGAACAGAGCUGGCGUAGUGGCCAGCUCCUGCUCCAGUUUUUACCUUGACUUCCUGCAACGAUGAACUGUGACCUGGAAGUGUAAGUGUCCCUCUCUCUGCCUGCUGUCCGUGGAUCAAGAUGUUAAAGCUCUGAGCUCCAUGCCUGAUGGUCUGCCUUUUACCAGACUUCCUGCCACGCUGAUGAUGGGUUGCCCUCUGAAACUGUAAGACAGCACCCAAUUAAAUGUUUUCUACUGUAUGUUGCCUUAGUCCUGGUGUCCCCUUACAGCAACAGAGCUGUGACCAAGACACCCACCCUUCUGGAAGUUAUUUUUGGUUAGAGCACUACACCACAGCAACAGAAUAAACCUAAGACAGCUCAUGUUUUGGUGGUGGAAAAUACACAUGCGCAUAUGUAUCUGUGUUGUACUCUAGUCUAGGAAAGGUUACUAAACGUGUUCUCUUUGCCUAGAUGCCCAGAUCUCUCUUUUAUACAGCGAUCCUGUGUUCUCACGUUAGCAUGCAUUCACCGAAAGGGCAACAGCGACGGUGCGGUGACCGGAAGUUCCCAGAUAAACCAGUUUGCCCAAUGGAAUUUGCCUUUGUGAAUUCCUGCCAGAUUGUGAAGGAGCCUGGCGCUAACCGGCUGAUUACAAAUGGCCUCGCCACGGACCAGCAAAAACCACAAAGGCAUGUGUGAUGUCACCCUGAAAGAGCCAGGCUGCACUUGAGACUUUCAAACUGUGCCGGAAUCAUUAAAGGCUAUGGAGACUUUGGACGUUAAGGCUCGAUGCAUUUUGCAUUAGAAGACGGCCAUGAGUCUCUGGGGACAAGAGGAGGCCAGGAUGGUUUUAGAACGAUGUGUUUGGGGGUGAAGCUGCCAAGCGGUGGAGAUGCGAUGCUAACCAUUUCCUACUUGACAGAAUCUAGAGUUACCUAGGAGGCCAGCCGCUGGGCGUGCCUCGGAGGGAGUAUUGAGAUGAGAGUGCUGGAGAUGCAAAGGCCCGCUCUAGUUGUGAGUGGCAUCCUUUCACCAGCUGGAGUCCCAGACUGAAUAAAGAGGAGAAAGCAAGCUGAGCAUCUUCAUUUAUAGUUCCCUGCCUCUGCACUGAAGCUGAAUGUGACUGGCCACCUCAAACUCUAGCUACCAUGCCUGCCCCAACCUGACAGACCGUGAGCUCAAAUAAACCCUUAUUCAUAGUUGCUUCUGCCAGGCGUCUCCUUGCAGCAAGGAGAUACAUAGCUAACACUGCUGUUUCCAGAUGAGCCACAUUUCUUCAGAGCUGAGUCUGCUGAGUAGUGACUUUCCAAGCAGAGGCACAAAGCUAGCUCACUGCUCACCCACACGAGCCUGGCUUAUCUCUGCUCCAUGGAUCAAGUAUUUCCCUAGUCGCUCAUGCACUUUCACGAGAAACGAAUCUGCUCAUAUCUCAGAUGGAGAAACUGAGGCCCUAAAGCUGCCGCCUAGGACAGAAGGUGUGUGGAGGCAAUUAAAGAGCUGAAGAGCCCGGACUGCAGAGAUGACGUGGCCCUGCCCCGUGCGAGUCCCCCCAACCCCCUAUGGGAAGAGCUCCAGGAGUCCCUGAAACCCCAAUGUCUCACCCACCCACCUGUCCCUAGUCUCAUACUGAAGGAAAUGUGCUGUGGCCGGGGACUGCACGCCGAGACCCUUCAUGUGUGCCUUGUCCUUUGUGCAUGCCUUGUCCUGCGCUCUCAAACCCAAGGGGAAAGGUCCCACUGGUCCCACUUCACAGAUGAGAAAAGAGAGGCCCAGAAGAAUGAGGUCUCAGGUUUACUCUCACCUCCAGGUCAAGGGGCAAAGCAGGGGCGUUGGCCAAGUUCAUCUGCUCUGCUGCUACCCACCCAGUCAAAAGCCUUGUGCUGUGUGAGGUUUGCCGGGGAAACGUGAACAAACUCACACUAGGUGGGACACUGACAACAGGAAAAGACACAAACAACUCCACCCAAGUCUACCCUGAUGAGCGUGAUGGCUAUCUUGGCUGUCAACCUGACCACAUCUAGGAGAAACCAGAACACGCAGGCGACUGGGGCUCCUGUGAAGGAGUUCUUUCUUAAUAAAUCAUUUGAAGUGGGAAGAUCCAUUAAUUCAGACCUCUGGGGUGUCAAGAUCUACCUCCAAUCUGGGCUGCACUUUCUGCUGGCAAUCUAUGUAAAGGAAACGGGAGAAGGAUGCUGGCUCUUCGUUGGCCUGCCUGUUCUUGCUAGCAAGCCCAUUCC